RNAcentral lists this long non-coding RNA (1069 nucleotides) under Sus scrofa (pig). RNAcentral's name for it is "lncRNA (ENSSSCG00070008743.1)". The record is from RNAcentral. Lineage: Eukaryota; Metazoa; Chordata; Mammalia; Artiodactyla; Suidae.
AAUCCACCUCCAGAUGGCUGAGUACCUUCAAAGGUGCUUCUGACAUAAAAGGUUAAGACAGAUUUCUUACAUCCAAUCAAUUAUAUUGCCCUUGUAAAUAUGCAACCUGAGUUUUGUUUGUUUUUUAGUCUGAAUGUCUGUAUUAAGAUGGGCUCUCCAGGAAAAAGAUUUUGAGUCUGAGAUUUGUGUGCAGGAUGUUCAUUAGGGAUAUACCCUGGCUCACCCAUGGGGGGUGAAGGACAUGAGACUGGGCACAGGGAAGAGGUGAAUUGGAUGCAAUCACAACAAAAAUCAUUCCAGAAAAGGGACUCAGCUGACAGCUAUCAGCCACCAACAUUUUGCAGUUGGAGGAAUAAAUAUCUCAGUCCUGAAGGGGAAUCCAGACAGCACCUCAUAGCAUUCAUUUCAACAGAACCACUACAAUGGAGACUUCUCGACUCCCUCUUUAAAUCAGCCAGUGUCAACAGAUUGAGGAAGAGGAGGAGCUGAAGUGCAGAGGGAGAAGAAGGAAUAGUUUCUGGGCUCACACCCAUAAUCCUACACUGUACACAGAAAAGGAACUGAACAAAUAUUCCGAAGAAAGAAAAGUAGUUGUUCCUGUAUUAUGCAAAUAGAGAAGAAGCUUUUUUAUAUUUCCCCAAGCUUUCCAAAGUGGCUGUUUAUUUUACCAUAAUAUUAUUUUCUUAACAAGUUGCUAAAUAAUUAGUAUUUCCAUUUCAUCCUCUAACUUAUGGAUGCUUUCUGGGUCCCCCUCUUCAUUUUUUAUUCCUCUUGAUUAUUUCUGAUAAGAAAUGAACAGAUCAAAACUAUAGCUGAGGUGACCAAACAUAUGUAUAUAAUCUAUCUGAUGAGGCUAUCAAAAAGCUCAAAUUUGGAGCAUGGUAAAACUAUUUUUUCAAAAAAAAAAUUAAACUAAACCACCAGUAAAAAUUUUUUUCUAAGACCACACAAUCAGUAGUUUAAGAGAAAAAAAAUGGUUUAUAUUUAAUUGGUCAUGAACUGAGUGAUGUGAUGAAAAGAAAGUGUUAAGAGGAAUAAAACCCCAAAGAUAAUAUUAUAAAGGCUUUCC